UGAGCAAUCUGCCCUUCUCUUCGGAAUAAGCGUUGGAAACGAUGUCUAAUGCCGAAUACGACCUCCUUUCGCAUGAUCGGAGGUGGAAAGCUCCGGCGGAGAAGGAUGAGCUCGCGGCCUAUCAGCUAGUUGGUGUGGGUAAUGGCCCACCAAGGCGACGACGGGUAGCCGGCCUGAGAGGGUGACCGGCCACACUGGGACUGAGACACGGCCCAGACCUCCGUACGGGAGCAG
This 234-nucleotide ribosomal RNA is filed under the name uncultured bacterium. Its description in RNAcentral is "partial 16S ribosomal RNA". It matches the Rfam family "Bacterial small subunit ribosomal RNA", at positions 118 to 347 of the family's 1533-position model. The record is from RNAcentral.